UUGAAAGGGAAACGAUUGAAGUCAGUCAUGCUGGUGGGAAUCAACUUAGGGGAAACUCUGGGUGCACUUCUUCGCUUGGCAGGUCAACGUCGAUUUUGAAUGUCAUAAAAUAAUUGGGGAAGGUAGCUCCUUCGGGAGUGUUAUAGCCCUUGAUAGAUGUGAUGUUUGAGGUCGAGGAUUGCAGCGGAUACCCUUUGGGGCUAGCUGCCUGAUCUCUAAUUGGUGUUGGGUUACGGAUAGCAUGCUGACUGUGAUCUGAUUUUCGGUUAAAAGAUUAGAGCGAGUGUAAAUUCGUUAAGGAUGUUGACGUA
This 311-nucleotide ribosomal RNA is filed under the name uncultured Glomeromycotina. Its description in RNAcentral is "LSU rRNA". The record is from RNAcentral. Lineage: Eukaryota; Fungi; Glomeromycota.